This 372-nucleotide ribosomal RNA is filed under the name uncultured bacterium. RNAcentral's name for it is "bacterial SSU rRNA". It matches the Rfam family "Bacterial small subunit ribosomal RNA", at positions 524 to 898 of the family's 1533-position model. The record is from RNAcentral.
UACGUAGGGUCCAAGCGUUAUCCGGAUUUACUGGGUGUAAAGGGCGAGUAGACGGCGCUGUAAGUCAGCUGUGAAAACUUAGGGCUCAACCUUAAGCCUGCAGCUGAAACUGUAGUGCUAGAGUGCAGGAGAGGUAAGCGGAAUUCCUAGUGUAGCGGUGAAAUGCGUAGAUAUUAGGAGGAACACCAGUGGCGAAGGCGGCUUACUGGACUGUAACUGACGUUGAGGCGCGAAAGUGUGGGGAGCAAACAGGAUUAGAUACCCUGGUAGUCCACACCGUAAACGAUGGAUACUAGGUGUAGGCGAGAUAUCGUCUGUGCCGGCGCAAACGCAAUAAGUAUCCCACCUGGGGAGUACGGCCGCAAGGUUGAA